ACGGAAGGCAGCAGUGGGGAAUAUUGCACAAUGGGCGAAAGCCUGAUGCAGCGACGCCGCGUGAGCGAAGAAGUAUUUCGGUAUGUAAAGCUCUAUCAGCAGGGAAGAAAAAUGACGGUACCUGACUCAGAAGCACCGGCUAAAUACGUGCCAGCAGCCGCGGUAAUACGUAUGGUGCAAGCGUUAUCCGGAUUUACUGGGUGUAAAGGGAGCGCAGGCGGUACGGCAAGUCUGAUGUGAAAGCCCGGGGCUCAACCCCGGUACUGCAUUGGAAACUGUCGAACUAGAGUGUCGGAGGGGUAAGUGGAAUUCCUAGUGUAGCGGUGAAAUGCGUAGAUAUUAGGAGGAACACCAGUGGCGAAGGCGGCUUACUGGACGAUCACUGACGCUGAGGCUCGAAAGCGUGGGGAGCAAACAGGAUUAGAUACCCUGGUA
Molecule: ribosomal RNA, 435 nt
Filed under: uncultured Lachnospiraceae bacterium
Lineage: Bacteria; Bacillati; Bacillota; Clostridia; Lachnospirales; Lachnospiraceae
Description: partial 16S ribosomal RNA
Rfam family: Bacterial small subunit ribosomal RNA
Source: RNAcentral